AACGGAGGGUGCAAGCGUUGUUCGGAAUUACUGGGCGUAAAGCGCGUGCAGGUGGUUUUUUAAGUUUCAUGUGAAAUACCCCGGCUUAACCGGGGAACUGCGUGGAAUACUGAGAAACUUGAAUACGGGAGAAGAGGGCGGAAUUCCCAGUGUAGAGGUGAAAUUCGUAGAGAUUGGGAGGAACAUCGGCGGCGAAAGCGGCUCUCUAGACCGAUAUUGACGCUCAUACGCGAGAGCGUGGGUAGCAAACAGG
This 253-nucleotide ribosomal RNA is filed under the name uncultured bacterium. RNAcentral's name for it is "partial 16S ribosomal RNA". It matches the Rfam family "Bacterial small subunit ribosomal RNA", at positions 524 to 776 of the family's 1533-position model. The record is from RNAcentral.